CCUCACAAAAACCAUUGCCACCCCAGAAUUAUUAUAAAAAUAUAAAUUUAUAUGCAGUGUUUCCGCUUAAAUGUGGACUUCAAAACAGAUUAAUGUUUGGCUACAAUGUAAUUUCGCACGUGACCACUCUGUCGCCGUCAACAUCUGCUGGACUGGUGCAGCCUGCACAAGUGAACCAAGUUGUCCAUUGCAGACUCCUCCUCCAAACCGUGACCGCAGCUGCUCAGAAGUGCCAAGCCCACUGUGGCUGUUGGAAAAAUACUGGAUACGUUGCAAACUAUUUAGGUUGAACUUCAUCAAAAACUGUUAUGGCAGGAAAGAAGGAUGUUGGACCUAUACAGACCUCAUCUACAAAGUACAUCAAGUGUGAUAAAACAAUAGCAGUUGACUGUUCAAAAAUCAGAAGUCAUAUUAAUAUGCCAACUGCAUAAUACUAAAUACCCCCCCCCCCCCCCUCACACACACACACCCUAAGUUUUACUUUAAUACUGUAUCUAUGAAGUUUAUCUUAAGAUAAGCUUCACACCAUAAACUGUGAUGAACUAAAUGAACUAUGAAUUCAACUAUUAUGAAUAGCAUAUUGUAUUUAUGGACAAUAUCAAUACAUUCGUUAUUUUAAAAACAUAGCUCACUUUCUCUACGAAAACUUUAUUGCAUUAUUAUGGCUGUCAAUUAAAUUAUAAAUGCUGUCAACAAAACUACUGUGGAUUAAUGGAUGUGUUCUUAAGUUAAUGAUAAACUUAUCAUUAGAUCAUCCAGUAGUUUUAUUGACAGCUGUACCCUUGACUUGAAGUGAGCAAGUCAGUUCAGUUCACAAUGUGCUAAAUCAGAAAUGUUUUUAGGGAAAUUAUAGAUGUGGUCAAAAGAAAGUGUUUUUCACAGAGCGUCUCUAUAACACGCAUCGUGUAUUGUUGUGUAAUUUAUACACGAAAAUUAGUUUUUAUAUUUUUUAUAUAUUCAAAUUUAUAUAUAUUUUUUAUAUUAUAUUUUAUGUAGCAUAUGAAACACAGUUUUUCACAUGCAGUUGAUAUACUAAUUGUAAUACACACGCACCCCACACCACUAUCUACCCAAAUGUAUAAUACACACGCACCCCACACCGCUACUAAACCAACCAAUGCGUAUCAUAUGCACAUAAAAACUCACUUUAGUGUAUAAAUUACACAACGAUACACAUGCGUGCUAUAAAGACGCAUUUAGUGUGAUCGGGUUGCUCGUGCAAACAGAGUAUAAUGUCAAGAAGUAAUGUGAAACGUGUGUUUCAUAAUGGUAACAAAGUGUGGUUUUUGAACAGAAGUGUAUACAGUAGUUACAAGAGUGUUAAAUAUUGCAAAUGAUCUGUGGCUUUGUUAAUUGUGUGUGUGGUUUUGCUAAUUGUGUGUAGUGUUUUGAAAAUCGUGCUUAAACAGCCCAAAAAAACUGUAACAGGGAACUGUUGUAGUAAAGGCUGCAAGGAUUUGAUCCCAUUAAUUCAAGAGAAUCAAUGAUGUCAGAUUUAUGUGCAUAACUGUAUUUGGUUUUAUGCACCUGUUAGAAAAGGCUGGGUGUAGCUAAAAAAAGCUUUUGGUAUCUACACGGCCAGGUAAUUUAUGUGUGGAGGUUUAAAUGUGCCUGCCUGAGGAAAUUGACUCCCCAACAUGAUUCCUAUGUGCAUUGACCAAGACUGAAAAUGGCAAUCGUAGAGGGUAAAAAAACACUAAGUAGAAAGGUGUGUCAUUAACCCUUACAAACUAGAAGAAACAACACGCUUGUGUAACUUGGAUCCGUGCAUUAUGGUCUUAAAGUGACAGCAGCCUAAAAUGUCUGCAGCAGUCUGUGUUUUUAAUGUUAUUCAAACAACAAAAGACAAUGAAAAAAAAAUCACUCUCUGCUAUUGACUAAAAAACUUUAGUAACUUUAAUAUGGAUUAAUCUGUAUAAAUUACUCAUACCAUGAAGACUAUCCAGUAUUACUUAUUUUGUAUUUGAUUUCUUUAUUUAGUGUCUACCUGAAAACUACUGUUAAUUGUCUUUAAUAAUGGUUUACAUUUAUAUAGGCCCCAUCCACUCUACAGCAUUUUUGUUUAAAAAAACGGAGACCUUUUGCUACGUUUGCACCUCCCGUCCAGACUAAAACGGAAAAAAACGAAGCCCUAAAACGGAGAAGGUUAGAAUCGCUGCAGCUCCGUUUUGCGU
Long non-coding RNA from Pimephales promelas (fathead minnow), 2174 nucleotides. RefSeq lists it as uncharacterized. The record is from RefSeq and is a predicted model, not a curated record. Lineage: Eukaryota; Metazoa; Chordata; Actinopteri; Cypriniformes; Leuciscidae.